CGGGGUGAGUAAUGCUUGGGAAGUCUGGCUUAUGGAGGGGGAUAACUACGGGAAACUGUAGCUAAUACCGCGUAGUAUCGAGAGAUUAAAGUGUGGGACCUUCGGGCCACAUGCCAUAGGAUGAGCCCAAGUGGGAUUAGGUAGUUGGUGAGGUAAAGGCUCACCAAGCCGACGAUCUCUAGCUGGUCUGAGAGGAUGACCAGCCACACUGGGACUGAGACACGGCCCAG
Molecule: ribosomal RNA, 230 nt
Filed under: uncultured bacterium
Lineage: Bacteria
Description: partial 16S ribosomal RNA
Rfam family: Bacterial small subunit ribosomal RNA
Source: RNAcentral